CUUGUUGUGUUAGAAUUCUGUCUUAUAUAUUUGACCUUUCACUAAGGUUCUGGGAAGGCAACAGAAAACGAUGUGCUAGUAUUCCACAGUUACAUUUAAAAAGGCCAACACAGAUCAGUCCAGAGUAAAGCUGAGUAAUGGUGCAUGAAGAACAGAAAACUCAAGCAGGUGAAAGCUAUGGAAAUGAGCGAUUCCAGUGGGAUCUGAUGGGAUGGAAGGUUCUAAACUGUCUGUGACUCUCCAGGAAGAAGAGAUGAUAAUCUCACCCCACCUCAUCUCAAAUGGGAUGUUAUAGAGCUGCGAAAGACAUUCUGCCGUCUCUCAGGCUGCCUGCAUUUCCUGUUCUGAACAAGGUCUGUGGGAUCCAUAACCUCAGGAUGUCCUUCCCCAGUUGGGAAGUCUUGAAAGCUGAGAAUGCGACUGCCUGAUCAUGCCAUAAAAGACAUGACAUUCUCUCA
Molecule: long non-coding RNA, 458 nt
Organism: Varanus komodoensis (Komodo dragon)
Lineage: Eukaryota; Metazoa; Chordata; Lepidosauria; Squamata; Varanidae
Exons: 4
Source: RefSeq, a predicted model, not a curated record